CAACAUCCUUCAAACACUACACAUUUUCCUAUCAACUCUAACUAAGAAAAAGAAAACCCGGUUCUGGUAACCGUAACCGAAACCGAACACCAUACCGACACCAUUUCUCAUUCACCACUAUGCCUACUAAGCCACUUAACUAUCUCUACUAAUUCACUCAAAGCUUUAACCACAGAAAACAUACUACCGGAAAACCAUUUCCGGUGAAGAAAUACUAAUUCCGGCGAUACUUACGUAUUUUCCGACGACGUCUUUUGUAACCAAAACGUGUUUUUGACCAAGGUUUAUUCGAACACGCUUGAUAAGUUUAUAUAUUUUUAAGACAACAAUCAAGAAACAAGGUACGGAUCCUUAACCCUCUCCCUUUGUUAUCUUAUUCUUUUGCUAUAAACCCUUAUUUAUAAUAUAUGUAUGUAUAUAUAAAUAUAUCUCGAAAACUCCAACGUCUUUGAGCCUCGAUUCAAUUGACUGUCUGUUCAUUUCUUACUCCGAUUAAAAUUAUUAUUCAACUUGACAACAUACGAUAAGUUUAUGAUUAUAUUGUGCUCAUUAUCGCAUGUUCUGAUUCUUAUAUAUUUGUUAAUGUUAGUGUUAUAUUUAUUUUUGAUUAUCUAAGAUCUGCUACCCUAAGCUUUCCGGCUCCUCCCGUGACGGAGUUAUCAGUUCACGGCGUCCCUAGGUACAAGUAUGGUACAUAGAGACUAGGUGGCAUACGGAUAUAUAUCCUAGGUAUGUUUCUGGAGAAGGAUGUCGGGUAGGCCAACCCGCUUCGUCUCAUGUGACAGACUUUGUGGCUGUCACCUCUGUUUAGCUUUUGGGUGCAUCAGUAUGAUAUGAUUCAGUUCAGUUACAUGUUAUGCUUUGCUGUGUUAUGCUCCUUGUCAGUGAUAUCAUUUCAGUCGUUUAUUUGUUUGCUAUUUGAGCCUAUUAUUCCGUACUGGGCAUUUGGCUCAUUCCGUAUAUUUCAUUUCACUACAGGUUCACAGGUUACUUUGGGCGGGGUGGAGAGUGAAGAAUAAACCCUAGGAUGCUAAUCGAAGAUGUUUGUCACUUUUAUAAAAUAAAUAUGUAUUUUGGGCCUCAGGGCUAUAAACCUUAUUUUGAAAUGUAAGCCUAAGUUUAAUUAAUGGAUUUAUGACUUCUGUUAUGAUCCACUAUUAUAGUGACACGUCAACCCAUCGAAGGGGAAGAAGAACAUCGGUGGAAGACUCCUUGGUCAAGUAUGUGUAUACCUUGCGAGAAGCCAUUGAUGAGAUGACAUCAGUGGAAGAAGCCUUAAUUGACCGUAUUAACCAUUUGUCGGUGGGGUUAGAGGGUUUCCUUCAAGAAGUCAACCUUUUGCACCAAAGGUUGAAUAUUCUUGCUUCACCUCCCAUGGUGCCAAUCGUCGCACAAAGAGGGUGGAAUGUCAUGCCGGAAGUUAUUAUUCCAGCCGGGUGGAAUGUCAUGCCUCCGGAACCUCCUCUAGACAUACUACACGGGGUUACGGUAGCCGUUGGGCCUCCUCCACAAGACAUUGUGGAGAAUGAGCCCGCCUUCUUUCUCCCUAGGGAGAAAGAGGAAUGGCUCAAUGUCAUUUAAAAGACAUCUCCUGGUUCCGAGUUCUACAAAGCCCUUAAGUACCGGAAAGUCAUUUCCGGGUUUUUAUCAUUCCAACAACAUUUAGGGUAGAAGUCCUUAUUGAUUUCCUGCAUUUUAUGACCUAUCUAUCUUAGGAUCUUUGUAGUUUUUCUUUUUAGCAACUUUUUUUUUUUAAUUUUUAGGAUCUUUGUACUUGUCGUUUUUUUUUUAUGAAUGAUGGUUUAAAAUUAUUGAAUGGUGUUUGGAUGAUGCUGUAAUGGUUAAAUACACUCGAAAAAGUGGAGGUUACCAGGGGAAUGUUAAAACCACACCCCAUGCACAAAAACAGAGCCUCCCGACAAUUUUCCAGCAUUACAGCAAGUUCAGCACGGGGCCGUGCUCAGCUCAACAUUCCCCGUGCCUAAGGCUCUGCAGAAAUUUGCUCAGUUCAGGACCAAAUAAGCUUAAACGAGCAAAAGGAACAUACAGCAAAAAACAACAUAAAUACAAAGAAAAGGAAUAAACGUGACAUGCCCGACCCCUCGGCAGCAUCCCCAAAAGCAAAAACAAGAAAUAGAAAACUGACCACGGGGUCGUGCCCACUGGACACGGGGGCGUGGUCAGCCACCUGUAGAAAAGACAAAGCCGUGGAAGCUUCUACGCCCACCAUGGGGGGCGUGCCCAGCUGAGUACGGGGCAUGGUAAACGCUAAGAAACGCGGAAUCUAGCAAAAUCUUGGUAGUACAGAUACGCUUCUACCCACGGGACCGUGCCCAGCGAACACGGGCCGUGUGGAGCCCUAUACUGACAAAUGCAAUUAAUGAAGGAAGAGAAAAGGAUGGCCACAGGGGCGUGUCCGCUAGACACGGGGCCAUGGCCGGGCUUCUGUUCAGACUAUAAAUAGGGGUGCUUGGGUCACUUCAAAUGCAUCCCUCGGCAAACCACUACUCUCUCACUUUGCCACCACUACACCACCAACACCCACCACCAUCAUCCAUCAUCCACCUUUAGA
Long non-coding RNA from Helianthus annuus (common sunflower), 2572 nucleotides. RefSeq lists it as uncharacterized. Lineage: Eukaryota; Viridiplantae; Streptophyta; Magnoliopsida; Asterales; Asteraceae. The record is from RefSeq and is a predicted model, not a curated record. The transcript is spliced from 3 exons.